AUGUAGGCGGCCAUGUAAGUCGGAUGUGAAAUCCCGAGGCUCAACUUCGGAACUGCAUCCGAGACUGUAUGGCUUGAGGAAGGUAGAGGAGAGUGGAAUUCCCGGUGUAGCGGUGGAAUGCGCAGAUAUCGGGAGGAACACCAGCGGCGAAGGCGGCUCUCUGGGCCUCUCCUGACGCUGAGAUGCGAAAGCGUGGGUAGCGAACAGGAUUAGAUACCCUGGUAGUCCACGCCGUAAACGUUGGGUGCUAUGUGUGGGGAUCAUUCCACGAGUUCCGUGUCGAAGCUAACGCAUUAAGCGCCCCGCCUGGGGAGUACGGCCGCAAAGCUAAAACUCAAAGGAAUUGACGGGGGCCCGCACAAGCGGCGGAGCAUGUUGCUUAAUUCGAUGCAACGCGAAGAACCUUACCUGGGCUUGACAUGCACGGUAAUCCUCUCAGAGAUGGUGUGUACUCCAAGGGCCGUGCACAGGUGGUGCAUGGUUGUCGUCAGCUCGUGUCGUGAGAUGUUGGGUUAAGUCCCGCAACGAGCGCAACCCUCAUUCUAUGUUGCCAGCAGCGUAAUGUUGGGGACUCAUAGGAGACUGCCGGGGUCAAAUCGGAGGAAGGUGGGGAUGACGUCAAAUCAUCAUGCCCCUUAUGUCUAGGGCUGCAAACAUGCUACAAUGGCCGGUACAAAGGGCUGCGAUACCGCGGGGUGGAGCGAAUCCCAAAAAGCCGGUCUCAGUUCGGAUUGGGGUCUGCAACUCGACCCCAUGAAGUUGGAGUCGCUA
This 771-nucleotide ribosomal RNA is filed under the name uncultured bacterium. Its description in RNAcentral is "bacterial SSU rRNA". It matches the Rfam family "Bacterial small subunit ribosomal RNA", at positions 569 to 1337 of the family's 1533-position model. The record is from RNAcentral.